ACAAGUUUUUAUUUUAUUGGAGACGGCGGAUGAGGUGCAAAAGGACAGAUGGCAUUACCAAGAACCAGAUAUGGUGCGACUGAAUCUCGGCACGGAGGAGGCGUCAAAGAUGAUCGAAAUCGGGAUUUUUCUAUUUAGUUAACACCUUUUCUCAUUGAGUAUUAAAUUCUUAGUGUACCAUAGGCGGUAAUCUGGCUUUAAUCGAUUCCCUUCUUAUAGUUAAAGAUUUCAGUCUGGAAACAAAAACAUCAGUAAGGUGUUUUCGUUCGGAUAUAAACAUGGCAAUCUACGUAUGUGAAGUCUCGAUGAAGCUGUCCAAGUGUAGAUCCAACGCACUACUCAAGUAGGCUUUCCUACUGCCAUUGAGAAAGAAAUGCCCUUGACGCAUUUC
RNAcentral lists this long non-coding RNA (391 nucleotides) under Nicotiana benthamiana. Its description in RNAcentral is "long non-coding RNA (NBEN_LNC042154)". The record is from RNAcentral. Lineage: Eukaryota; Viridiplantae; Streptophyta; Magnoliopsida; Solanales; Solanaceae.